Molecule: non-coding RNA, 155 nt
Filed under: Compsopogon caeruleus
Lineage: Eukaryota; Rhodophyta; Compsopogonophyceae; Compsopogonales; Compsopogonaceae
Source: RNAcentral
AAAAAAAAAAAAAAAAAAAAAAGAAGUUGUUUGUUCUCCAUCACAUUAUUUUCCAUCGCUUCCUUCUUCUUUGUCUUUUUCUUCAUCGUUUUCUUUUGCUUCCAAGUUGUUGUUUUUGUAAUUCCAUAGUUGUAUGUCUGCUCCCACUUGUUAAG